AUUUCCAGUGCGUUUUUCGGUAAAAUCCGCCGACGGAACGCGAUUUCGGUUCUGAGUUCUUCCGACGGUGCCUCACUGUGAUUUACGUUGUCGCUGAGCCUUAUUGGCUGGUCACCUGCAUCGUUUCAAGGGUUCGAAGAUGACGGGUGAGCGACUGUGGGUUCCGGUGUCAAAAUUGAUACUUCCGGGAACCCGGAUCGGAACGAUUAUCCGACGAUAAUCGUUUCGAUGUGAGUAUACGUGUUUGCUGCCAGGACACCUUAAUUAUAGUGUUGGGUGGCAGCGGUUGACUCGUGGCAUGAGUCGGUGAGUUCCGGGGCACUUCGUGGGUCCCGACGGAGUCCCGGGGCGAUUUUCGGGACUUUCGGCGAGUUACGGUAAUCGGUUUUGGAAAACCGAUCCCCGUGGGAUUAUUUGUGGGGUUGUGGAUUUUAGUGUUCUUUGUUUGUGGGUUAGAUACUAACCCGGUGGACCCUCCGUAGGUCCGGUUGAUGAUUUUCCACAGUCGGGAUACAUGCAAGUUAUUCGUACAGGUGGGUACUUCAACCCGAAAUCGGUACAGUGGUGUACGCUCAGUGACAUUUCCUUCACUCUUUUCUUAUUAUUACCUUGCGUGUUAUAUGUUGAGUCUAGCACCUAUACCAUAUCUCUUUAUUGCUAUACUUGGAUAGUUUGCAUACCCAGUAUCAUGGUUUAGAAGUAGAGCGGUUUUGUG
Molecule: long non-coding RNA, 715 nt
Filed under: Ananas comosus (pineapple)
Lineage: Eukaryota; Viridiplantae; Streptophyta; Magnoliopsida; Poales; Bromeliaceae
Description: long non-coding RNA (ACOM_LNC003138)
Source: RNAcentral